GAUGAACGCUGGCGGCGUGCUUAACACAUGCAAGUCGAACGAAGCACUUUAUUUGAUUUCCUUCGGGACUGAUUAUUUUGUGACUGAGUGGCGGACGGGUGAGUAACGCGUGGGUAACCUGCCUUGUACAGGGGGAUAACAGUUGGAAACGGCUGCUAAUACCGCAUAAGCGCACAGCAUCGCAUGAUGCAGUGUGAAAAACUCCGGUGGUAUAAGAUGGACCCGCGUUGGAUUAGCUAGUUGGUGAGGUAACGGCCCACCAAGGCGACGAUCCAUAGCCGACCUGAGAGGGUGACCGGCCACAUUGGGACUGAGACACGGCCCAAACUCCUACGGGAGGCAGCAGUGGGGAAUAUUGCACAAUGGGCGAAAGCCUGAUGCAGCGACGCCGCGUGAGCGAAGAAGUCUUUAGGUAUGUAAAGCUCUAUCAGCAGGGAAGAUAAUGACGGUACCUGACUAAGAAGCACCGGCUAACUCCGUG
This 481-nucleotide ribosomal RNA is filed under the name uncultured bacterium. RNAcentral describes it as "partial 16S ribosomal RNA". It matches the Rfam family "Bacterial small subunit ribosomal RNA", at positions 28 to 507 of the family's 1533-position model. The record is from RNAcentral.